Sphaeramia orbicularis (orbiculate cardinalfish) is the source of this 2774-nucleotide long non-coding RNA. RefSeq lists it as uncharacterized. Lineage: Eukaryota; Metazoa; Chordata; Actinopteri; Kurtiformes; Apogonidae. The transcript is spliced from 2 exons. The record is from RefSeq and is a predicted model, not a curated record.
CUUUCUUCUCAAAAUAAUGAUAAAAAAUAUAUAUGUUGGACCUUAAUUUAAUUUUUUUUUUCCAGUGGCCUUAAUCCUCUUCCGUAUGAACUGAAUCUUAUUAAAAGUGCACAACAGUUGAGGUUUUGAGUAAAAACUAAACUCAGGGUUAAACAGUCUUUUUUAAUUUGAAGCUACUUAAAAAGUCUGAAGUCUGGUAUAACAUAGUUAAAAGUUAAACCAUGAUUUAUACAGGUUUAAAGAUUAAUCCCUGUUGGUGUGACCUGGUCGUGGAGUUUCACUGUUGGAAGCAGCUACAGCAUCAUUAGGGCACUGAAGGGUUUUUUUAUUCGUUUUAUAUGUAAGAACUGAGAGUUACUGCCAAUUUCUGAGCCAAGAAGGUGAUAAUAUUACCAACAUUUUUUAUCUUUUCUUGGUGCCCAAUUCAAUUAUAAGACUUUAUCUUUCUCUGGUACACUAAGAUAAUCAAUACUUGAAUAUUUCCAAAGAUAAACACGUCAUACAUUUACUACAGGAAAGCACAGCUGCACCUUAGUAUACAUAACACCAUCAUCGUUGUGAUAUUUACAGAUGACUUUGGCGUCUUGUGGUGCAGUUAUAUUUGUUGUCGAUGCAUUUUGAACAGAUUUUUUUUCCCCUUCAUAGAAUUUUUUGUUAAAUGGCAUGCAGGGACACUUUAAAGUCCAUAUACAGCAUUUUAAUCAGGGUUUUUACAAGUUUUUAAGGUUCAGUGUGUGAUAUUUAGUGACAUCUAGUGGUGAAGUUACAGAGUGCAACUAAUUUCACCUUCCCCUUAUUGCGAAAAGUGAGUAUUUAAGUCAAUGGCUGUGUUUCCAUCCAGCUGGUUUCUGUAAAAUUUUCAUGUUUGCGCAUUAAAAAAAAGGAAAUGCUGUAAAUUCCGAAAAACACUGACAUAUAGCAAGAAAAGUGUAACUGAAAAAGUCAAAAGUUGCUGAAUUGAUAAAGAAAAUAAGUAGAAUGGAAUCAGAUUUAGUGAAAAUUCGUCUCUGCAUGUAUUGACAAAUAAGAAAACUAAUGCUACAAAAACAUAAAUGCCAUAUCAAAUAAUGUCACCAUGUAUGAAAAGCUGCAGAAACAAAUUUUAGACAAAGAAACGUUAUAUGUUCCAGUCCAAAAGCUCUGUCCAGGUUGACAUCUAUCAGCUCCUCAAUCAACAGUUCAGGUAAUAAUGCGAUUGUAUGAAACACUACAUCUAAUAGGUCAACUUUUAAAACCAGCUUUUCAUAUUCACAUAAAAGUAGUGGAUGAAAUUUGCAUAAAUGUGCAUUUUCUUGUGCUCAUUUUCUGGGGAAUUCAGUUGAAAAUGGCUAAAUAUUUGGAUGGAAACCUGCUUAGUGUGUGUUGCCUUUUACUAUGGCGAUAAAAGGUGACAAUAAUGCACUGAAACCACCCUUUAGAGCUAAUGUAGAAACAGUGAUGCAAGAUAUAUAAAUAGCUCGUUCUAAGCUAGUGAAAACACAAGUGUCAUUUUUAAGUGAUUGAACACUAAUGAAAUCCAUGUAAAUCUUACACACUGGACCUUUAAAGCCCUGAAAUUUUGAUUACCAGAUGUUAAACUUGACAGAAACCCUGCUUUAAGUGCUUUCGCUGUGGAAUGAGACACUUUUUCAUCCACUUACUACAUGAUUUGAUGCCACAUUUUUGAUGUACAUUCUUAGGUCAGUAUGUUUUGAACAGUUGUGAAUUUGCAGCCUGUAGUCAGUUUUUACUCUCUGUACCACAGGAAACCAUCUCAUUGAACAUUUUUAAUUAUUUCUGUGAUCUAUGCAACAGUAGUUCUAGUUGUUUUUAAUGUAAAUCUGAUAGACGGCGAGCCUUGUAAUGUUUGAUAAUGUAGGACGGGUGCUGCUGUUCAUUCUGUUUUCUAGGGGAUUUGAUGGUUUUGUUGUUUUUUUUCACUUUACAUGUAGGUGCUAGGGUGUAAAUAAGGAAAAGUAUUUUUGCAGAUAUUUAUCAUUGAAUUGUAUGUUUUAUUAGGAAUGAGUGCAGAGUCUUUUGAUGAAUGUGAAAUGGGUGAAUCUCUGAUGGAUAAACAGUCACUUAAAAAAAAAAAAAGAGGUUGUCCCUUGUUUUUCUCACUUCACACUCAUCAUCUGAACACAUUACAACUCAAGAAACAUCCAUGUGUAAUUCCCAUAAAUCUGUAGUUGUUAAAUCAUUCCAAUUUAUUCUUUGAAUGCCUAAAUAUACAUAUUUCACAAAUUAUUACAACGAGGGAUAUUGCAGUGUUAUGGCCUAAUUACCCAGCCUGUUUUGGCCAAUUCGAGCUCACUCGUUGCUCUCCAUCUAUGGCAUUAAACACACUCCUCAUGGCAAAAUUAAUCUCAUAACAUUUACAAUGAAAGGAUCUGCGGAUCUGCUUCCCCAACAGAGAAAUGGGUGUUUCCGUUUAUUUCACUUUGGUGGUGAAUAUUCAUAUAUUCUCUUGGAUGAGAUUCCCCUUCGAGUAAUAUUCAACAUGUUUAAUCGAACUCCUAUUAAAUCUAAAUGAAAUAUACAUUAGGAACAGCCCACACUGUCAAAGUCACUGCUCAUGACCAAGCACAGAGCAAGUAGAAUGAGUUAUUGUUUAAGAUAUAUGCCUUAUAUAUAAUUUCCCGAUCUAAUGACUUGGGACAACUACUAACAUUCUUAAGAGUAACUGCAAUUUCCAGGUUGUAAGUGAAUACAACAAAUGCAAUUUUUAACAUCCAGGUCAAAUUACCUUCAUGAUCAUGAAUGUGCUCUAGGGAUUUGGAAAAAAAAAAAAAAAC